ACCAUGAUUCUAACAGAUUGUUAAAAUCAGUUACAACAGCUUAAGUUUAAACAUACAUCAGCAAGUACACUUAAUGUGUUUAACAAGUAAAAGAGGCUCAGUCAGAAUGUUGAUAGUUGGUGGUAUAUAUGAAAAUGCUUUGUAAAUUCUGAAGUGCUAAAAAAUUAGGUGUCUUUAGUAAUCAACAAAUGCUUCCUAAGAAUGUCUGGUAGUUCUGAAGUUAGUAACCUUGAUCUUUACCCUUAAGAGAUUUCAGCCUAAUGGUUUACAAUAUAAUAGGGGGUCAUUUGUUUCCAGUUAAGUAUGUCUUAUGAAUAGUCUAGCAGUAAUUGCGGUCACCUUGUAGGCCAGACAACCAGAUAGUGUUAUAGGCUGCAGGGAAGCCAAGGGGGUUAAUGAUCAGCAGUAAUUACGACACAAGUUAAAAGUCAAAUUGCCUGCUCUGAUUUUUAAGGGCUCUCACACAGAGAGAAGCUAAGGAACCAGAUAACCAAAGGUCACUUCUGAAUUUCAAGUAGAUUUGGGGCUCCCUUUCAGGUGUCCUGGGUUAGAUUAAGAAGAGAGUAGAAAGUCUAAGAUGAUUCCCAUCUAAUUAAUUUCAUUCUGUGGCAACCAGUGCACAAGGCCGGUGUUGCCCCAAUAGCACAAGUGAAUGUCUGAAGCACUCAGAUCAAUAAGCGACAAGAAAUUGCAGGAAAGCAACCUCUGCAACUGUAGGCAUGUCUUUUCAUUUGGAAAUAUAAUUUGAGGUUGAUAACAAAGAGAGUUAAUCUCUGCGGGGACUGAGGUCAGCAUUAUCUGCAUUUUACAGAUAAACAUCCCUCCCUCUGUGGGCUGUAUUGCACAUUUUUUCCUCCUCAAAGUUUUCUCCAACAUCAUAUCACAUGAGCUUGGUGAUAAUGUAAAAUAGGAUUGGUUUUGUCUGUUUUGGAACUGAAGACUUUGAUACCGAGAGGUGAGCCUUAUCCAAGAUUACACACAGCAGUGAGGGUCAGAGCUGGGCCAGGAGCCCAGCAAUCCUACUUGUCUUCAGGUGCUGCCUCUACUCCCAUGGUAGCUGGUGAUUCAUAUUACAAAGAGAUUCAUAGAAGAACUCAUUAAAAACAGCAAGGACAUCAGAUAUAAAGCUUUGAUUUGUGGAGAAUUAUUGAACACACAUUGUAGUAAUUAUUAAGUCAUACAGCUUUCUCACUUUUCUAAACAGGUUACCCAUUCUCUAAGGAUUCCUUACCAUUUCCCUCACUAUUGCCAGGAUUGUCUGAGGUUGCUAAUUGAAAUAAUCUGAGAACUUGCAUUUGGCUGUUUUAUCCUAGUGUUCAGAUAUAAACUGCUGACAACUGUUAUACUAGCUCAAACCAACACUACUUAUGGUUGUGAAAAAAACAAAAAAAACCGCCAUGUGCUCUGUUAGCCCUAUGUAGUUCGGCUCCCUUCAGAAAGUUCCUUUCAGCAAGUUAGUUCGGCUCCCUUCAGAAAGUUCCCUUCAGAAAGUUAGUUAGGCUCCCUUCAGAAAGUUAAAGUAGUUUCCCUUCAGAAUAUAUAUUAGUUCCCUUUAGAAAGUUUCCAUUCUAUGGUCUUUGAUUAGUUAUGGCCCUUAGUGAAGUUCACUUUUAACCUAAAAUCCUUUAUAAUAAGCAGGAAACAAGUGUUAGAGUAAAAAGAACUGCUAACAACUUGAAUUUUUGCAGGAGCUUUGGGACCCAGCCUAUGUGAGCAAGCCAGAGAAAGAAAUGCGAUGCUUCCCUUGAAGACCAGAUCACUACAAGGAGUCUGCAAUCUGCCUUCACGCAUUAAUCUGAAAGCCUCCAACUACCCCUCCCUACCCCUUUUUUCUUAGCAUAAAAUUAAGAAUUCUACCCCAGUUGAGAUAGUUCUUUAGGAUAUUUGCCCAUCAUCUUCUUGGCUUGCUGGCUUUCUGAAUAAAGUCACCACUCCUUGGCUGAACACCUUUCUCCCAGCUUAUUGGCCUGUCAUGCAGCAGGUGAGUUGUACAAGCUUAGGCUCAGUAAGAAUUUACUGAGAAAUUCAGAGAAUUUGCAGAGAAAAUUCAGAGAGACUGUUUUACUUCUUUCGUAAGCCUCUGAGGCAAUGCUUCUGACAAACUUUUUAGGUCUACCUCUCCAUCAUUCCUUUGUACCAGUAAUCAGGCUUCUAUUACCCCAUUCUUUCCCUCUUGCAGAUACCUCUCUGACAGAUUACUCUUGGAGGACUUUAGAUUCCAUUUAGGAGCUGACAAUAGCACUCUGUUUGGAGAGCACCUAUUAUGGAACCAGAUCUGUUUUGCCCUAAACUAAACACUGCAAGCCAAGAUUCUGAGAUGCCUAGAUUUGAUGAAAAGAGAGUUAUCUACAGCAAGCCAGCCAAGCAAGAAAACAGAAGAACAAAUCCCCCUCCCGGAAGGCAAGGGGCAGGGGUAUUUAUGGGAUGAGGAAUGAAGACGCAGGGUGGACUGGGGCGUGGGGUACGUAAGGAAAGUUGAUUGGAGAAAGGUGCAGUGGUUUUAGUUCUGCGCAGGCGUAACUAGACACAGCUGAUUCCAAGUUCCUGGAAAACAACUCUGGCAAACAUCUUAUUGUUUAGGCUACAUGCUGCUUGGAGAACCUACAAGUCUUAAACCAGCCUUGAUUAGUGAAGGCAGGUGAAAUGGAUUUGACCCACAAUUUCACACCCAGAUGCCUAGAUGUGGCCCGAGGGCUGUGCACCGGCCUUCACACCUGUUAUAGCAGCAAGAAUGUGGAGCAGAAGGACUAAGGGCUGACUUCCUGCUGUGAGAUUCUGCAGGCAACUCCACUGGCAUUUUUGUGUUCUGAGUGCGUCAUUUCUCAGCUAUGAUGAAAUGUAGUCCCAGCAAAAGACUGGUUAUCGCUAUGGAGCAAAAGAUACAAGCAAGGCGCCUAGAGUAUGUGCUCCCUGCUCAUAAUCCAGCAGAAAUCCUUGCCUUAGGUUGAAUACCAUAACAAUUUAGGGCUCAGCCCUUGGAGUCAGAUGGCCAGUACUCCAAUUCUGCUGUGGAGUUUCAGGCCAUCUUCCCUGAGUUUGCCUUCUUCCUUCUCAACCAGGAUUAGCAGGACACUGGGCUUUCCGCAUAGCUGUUGGUCCCAACUGCCCCUCUCCAUGACUCUGGACGGCCCGCAUCGGUCUUCCUCUGUGGGAUUCAUUCUCUCCCUCUUUGUUGAUACAGUCCCUCAUUUUGCCGGAGCACCUGCUCCAGCCGUGUCCUAAGAAAAAAUAAGUGUGAAAUAAAAUUUUUCAGUCCUUGGUUAUCUUUUCUUUUCCCACAUUUGAUUUGGCUUGAUACUUUCCCCAUAAGAAUUUUGGAGCUUUUCUCUUUUCACUUUUAGCUUUCAGUGUUAAGUAUUAAGAAGCUCGAUUCUGUAUUGAUCUCCAUUUUCUCCCCCUUUCAGAAGAUUACAAAAUUUUCAGCACGUGCUCUAAGGCCUAGGCAGAUGCAGGGCCUGUGUCCUCACAUGAGGAAGGGGCGAGGGAACUCAGAGGGCUCUUCAUCAGGUCACCGAUCCCAUUCAUGAAGGCUCUGCCCUCAUGACCUAAUCGCCUCCCCAAGACACCGUCGCCUCAAAUAUCACCACACUGGGGUUUGGAUUUCGCCAUAUAUUUUGAGGGAGGAACACAAACAUUCCAUCUAUAGCCUAUCUGGAACCUUUUUCAGAGUUAAGAAUGAAAGCAGAAUCUUUCUUUCUCUUCUAUUAGCAUGCACAGCCUUCCAAAGUCAUGUAUUUUUCUA
Sus scrofa (pig) is the source of this 3742-nucleotide non-coding RNA. NCBI's taxonomy places the organism in Eukaryota, Metazoa, Chordata, Mammalia, Artiodactyla, Suidae. The record is from RefSeq and is a predicted model, not a curated record.